CACUUUGCAAAAUUUUCACCUCUCUCUCCCUCUUCUCUCUUUCUCAUAACCGGCCAAGAGCCACCACCAUAGCCACCACACCUUCAAGUUUGGUUCUUGCUAAAUCACACACAUACAAGGGUGCUAGAGUUCGUAUAACGAAGCUUGGUGCUCUCGGAAGUGGAAGGACCUUCUCUAUUCGCUUUUAACCACCACUUUUCUACACUCGUACUCUCCUAGCCUUGUGCUAGUGGACGUGAUUGACCGACCUUGACUGUUAGCUAUAUUUGAGAAUCUAACCGAGCAAACCGAGAUGCUAUGGAGCUUGCAUAUGGAGGUGGUCGUUUAUGAUUGGUGGCUCGAUCCUAGUCACUGUUGCUCUAUCUACUGCUGUUUCCUAAGUACUGCUGAAAGACACAAGCACUGCCCACUCAAAGACUGAUCACCUUUGAAGAAAGCACUGAAGUUCAACAUCAGUGCUCAGGCUACAACAGUGGAACGUGAAGCAGUUGUUAUCUCUUGGUUUGUAUUGUACUAAUAAUCAGAUGUUGCAUAUCAGUAGUUUGUUUAGAACAGUGUAUAUAGGUUGUUAGUUUGUUAGAUGUCACUAUCAUGGUGACGUCGGCUGAGAUGCUUCAGUGGUUUGGUUUGCCUAUAAAUGGAGCAGUACCCUGUACUGUUACAUUUGAUUGACUGAGUAGAUUCUCAGUCCAAUCCUUUCAUCUUGUGCAACCAACCUUGGGGUAUCAGGCUGAGGGGGAGCUUAGUUCUGUAAACAUGUUGUAAUCAUUUGCUUUGUAUUUCAAUCAUUCAACUUAAUGAAAAGCAUGUGUUU
This 814-nucleotide long non-coding RNA is filed under the name Helianthus annuus (common sunflower). RNAcentral's name for it is "hypothetical non coding rna". The record is from RNAcentral. Lineage: Eukaryota; Viridiplantae; Streptophyta; Magnoliopsida; Asterales; Asteraceae.